AGUGACGAUAGCCUAGGAGAUACACCUGUACCCAUGCCGAACACAGAAGUUAAGCCCUAGAACGCCGGAAGUAGUUGGGGGUUGCCCCCCCUGUGAGAUAGGGAAGUCGCUUAGCU
Molecule: ribosomal RNA, 116 nt
Filed under: Streptococcus pneumoniae
Lineage: Bacteria; Bacillati; Bacillota; Bacilli; Lactobacillales; Streptococcaceae
Source: RNAcentral